CAAUAGCGUAUAUUUAAGUUGCUGCAGUUAAAAAGCUCGUAGUUGGAUUUCGGGUGGGAAUGGCCGGUCCGCCGUUUCGGUGUGCACUUGCUACGCCCACCUUGCUGCCGGGGACGUGCUCUUGAGUUCACGCUCAGGACACGGAGUCGGCGAGGUUACUUUGAGUAAAUUAGAGUGUUCAAAGCAGGCCUACGCUCUGAAUACAUUAGCAUGGAAUAACACGAUAGGACUCUGGCCUAUCUUGUUGGUCUGUAGGACCGGAGUAAUGAUUAAGAGGGACAGUCGGGGGCAUUCGUAUUUCAUUGUCAGAGGUGAAAUUCUUGGAUUUAUGAAAGACGAACUACUGCGAAAGCAUUUGCCAAGGAUGUUUUCAUUAA
This 377-nucleotide ribosomal RNA is filed under the name uncultured eukaryote. RNAcentral's name for it is "partial 18S ribosomal RNA". It matches the Rfam family "Eukaryotic small subunit ribosomal RNA", at positions 592 to 976 of the family's 1831-position model. The record is from RNAcentral.